AAGGGCACCACAAGAACGCGUGGAGCAUGUGGUUUAAUUUGACUCAACGCGGGGAAUCUUACCAGGUCCGGACACACUGAGGAUUGACAGGCGAAGAACUUUGAAAGUAACUCUUUUGUUAUGGACACUGUUCCUUAAAUUUGCUAGUCCUUUCAUGAUUGUGUGAUAGGUGGUGCAUGGCCGUUCUUAGUUCGUGGAAUAAUCUGUCUGCUUAAUUACAUGUAAGGUCUCUCAAAGGUUUCAUUGCUUCUUGCUUUGUUAAACACUGCGAUUGCAUCUUCAUGUAGACUCAUGUGCCUUCUGUGACGAACGUGACCCCAAUGCUUUUUUGUGAAGCUUCAUUUAAAUAUUCCUUUCAGGGUUAAUAUUUAAUUAACGAAACUUUGUAAUAAAAGGGGACUGCUAGGUUCAACCUAGAGGAAGGUUGGGGCAAUAACAGGUCUGUGAUGCCCUUAGAUGUUCCGGGCUGCACACGUGCUACAAUGAACAGUGCAGUAAGCUUAACUUUAAGGCUAUUCUACCUUAUUUUUUAAGGUAAGUUUAGCUGCCAACCUACUUCGAGAGAUAGUAGGCAACCAUUUGUAAGUACUGAUUUCCCAAUAAGCUUUUGCCUUCUCUUUCUUCGGAAAGGUUGGCCAUGCUCUUUUAGUUAGUAGACUUCGUAGUGGGGACAGACUACUGUUAAUUGUUGGUCUCGUUUCAACUAGGAAUGCCUUGUACUGUGAACUCAACAGGUUCACAGGAAUACGUCCCUGCCCUUUGUACACACCGCCCGUC
This 777-nucleotide ribosomal RNA is filed under the name Foraminifera environmental sample. RNAcentral describes it as "SSU rRNA". It matches the Rfam family "Eukaryotic small subunit ribosomal RNA", at positions 1160 to 1677 of the family's 1831-position model. Lineage: Eukaryota; Foraminifera. The record is from RNAcentral.